Cervus elaphus (red deer) is the source of this 561-nucleotide long non-coding RNA. RefSeq lists it as uncharacterized. The record is from RefSeq and is a predicted model, not a curated record. The transcript is spliced from 3 exons. Lineage: Eukaryota; Metazoa; Chordata; Mammalia; Artiodactyla; Cervidae.
AACCUGGGUUCGGUCCCUGGGUUGUGAAGAUCCCCUGGAAGAGGGCAUGGCAACCCACUCCAGGUCUCGUCAACAAUGUAGAAUACAUAAUACUGACAAGAGUAUUAGUAGUAAACUAAGAAGAACAGAGAAAUUGAAUUAAAAGUGAGAAAAUGGAGAGAGUCAAAAUGCACAGCUGAGGGCAGAGAUCCCUGUUCUUUGUGAAACUGAUUCAGAAAGCUGGAGUUGAUAGUCCUGAAGUCCUCUAGAGAACUGACAGCUAUCUGAAACUGCAGCAGGGCCAUUCCUGAUGGACAUGACUACAAGCACCGACUCAUAUUCUGUGACUCAGGAUGGUUGAAUGACAUCACCGACUCAAUGGGCAUGAGUUUGAGCAAGCUCCAGGAGAUGGUGAAGGACAAGGAAGCCUGGCGUGCUGAGGUCCAUGGGCAUGAAUGAGCGACUGAACAACAAGAAGAUAUAGACUGAAUAGUAUCUUGAACCUGUCCUGUUCCAUUAUACCAUUUUACUACAAUGUGGCCAUGCUUAGAGUUGCUUUAAAAAAUAAAUUUUUCAUAUCAA